UCCCCUAGUAACUGCGAGUGAAGAGGGAAAAGCUCAAAUUUUGAAUCUGGCGGUCGUGAUGGCCGUCCGAGUUGUAAUCUAGAGAAGCGUCUUCUAGCGCUGAGCCGUGUACAAGUCUCCUGGAAGGGAGCGUCAUAGAGGGUGAGAAUCCCGUCUUUGACACGGAGAAUCAGUGCGAUGUGAUGCGCUCUCGACGAGUCGAGUUGUUUGGGAAUGCAGCUCAAAUAGGGUGGUAAAUUCCAUCUAAAGCUAAAUACUGGCGAGAGACCGAUAGCGAACAAGUACCGUGAGGGAAAGAUGAAAAGAACUUUGGAAAGAGAGUUAAACAGUACGUGAAAUUGCUGAAAGGGAAACGCUCGAGGUCAGUCGCGUCCGCCAGGGAUCAACCUUGCUUCUUCGCUCGGUGCAUUUCUUGGUCGGACGGGUCAGCAUCAGUUUCGAUCGUCGUAGAACGGUCGAGGGAACGUGGCACCUCUCGAGGUGUGUUAUAGCCCUCGAUCUUAUGCGUCGGAAGGGACUGAGGAACUCGACACUUUUCGUGUCUAGGAUGCUGGCAUAAUGGCCUUGAGCGACCCGUCUUGAAACACGGACCAAGGAGUCUAACAUGCCUGCGAGUGUUUGGGUGUCGAAACUCAAGCGCGCAACGAAAGUGAAAGUCGAGAUCUCUGUCAUGGAGAGCAUCGACGCCCGGACCAGAGUCUUUGACGAAUGAUCUGCGGUAGAGCAUG
Molecule: ribosomal RNA, 728 nt
Filed under: Hourangia nigropunctata
Lineage: Eukaryota; Fungi; Basidiomycota; Agaricomycetes; Boletales; Boletaceae
Description: partial large subunit ribosomal RNA
Rfam family: Eukaryotic large subunit ribosomal RNA
Source: RNAcentral